GGGUGUCCUACGGGACCUAACAGGGAAGUCGGGUGAGAAUCCCGCGCAGUCCCGCUGCCGUGAGAGGGGAGCGUCCGCGCAAUCGGGCCACUGGAUCUGAGAAAGGGGAUCUGGGAAGGCGUGCGGAAGGCCAUGAGCCUCGAGCCGGAAGACCUGCCCUGGCGC
This 165-nucleotide non-coding RNA is filed under the name uncultured Intestinimonas sp. Lineage: Bacteria; Bacillati; Bacillota; Clostridia; Eubacteriales. The record is from RNAcentral.